RNAcentral lists this transfer RNA (72 nucleotides) under Bos taurus (domestic cattle). It matches the Rfam family "tRNA". Rfam says of the family: Transfer RNA (tRNA) molecules are approximately 80 nucleotides in length. Their secondary structure includes four short double-helical elements and three loops (D, anti-codon, and T loops). Lineage: Eukaryota; Metazoa; Chordata; Mammalia; Artiodactyla; Bovidae. The record is from Rfam by way of RNAcentral. RNAcentral also lists the same sequence under 2 other names.
UCCCUAGUAGCUUAGACCGAAAGCAUCUGCUUGCAAUGCAGGAGACCUGGGUUCGAUCUCUCGGUUGGGAAG